AGCUGAUAUUCAUAGCUCAGUGGUAAGAGCGCUGGUCUAGUAAACCAGAGAUUGUGAGUUCAAUCCUCACUGGGGCCU
Neoarius graeffei (lesser salmon catfish) is the source of this 78-nucleotide non-coding RNA. NCBI's taxonomy places the organism in Eukaryota, Metazoa, Chordata, Actinopteri, Siluriformes, Ariidae. The record is from the annotation of a RefSeq genome assembly.